CUUGCGGAGUAUCCUUCCCAAGUUGCGUGGAUGUGAAGGGACACGACUGUUCCCCUGAUGUACCAUGGGCGACCUACUUGUGACCUGAACCUCCGCCAUGUAGCAGACAACCCCCUCAGGUCUUGCGGAGUAUCCUUCCCAAGUUGCGUGGAUGUGAAGGGACACGACUGUUCCCCUGAUGUACCAUGGGCGACCUACUUGUGAUGUGGACCUGAACAUCCGCCAUGUAGCAGACAACCCCCUCAGGUCUUGCGGAGUAUCCUUCCCAAGUUGCGUGGAUGUGAAGGGACACGACUGUUCCCCUGAUGUACCAUGGGCGACCUACUUGUGAUGUGGACCUGAACCUCCGCCAUGUAGCAGACAACCCCCUCAGGUCUUGCGGAGUAUCCUUCCCAAGUUGCGUGGAUGUGAAGGGACACGACUGUUCCCCUGAUGUACCAUGGGCGACCUACUUGUGAUGUGGACCUGAACCUCCGCCAUGUAGCAGACAACCCCCUCAGGUCUUGCGGAGUAUCCUUCCCAAGGUACAGGAACCAGCGUGGAUGUCAAGGGACAAGACAGUUCCCCUGCUGUACCAUGGGCGACCUACCACAAUACCACUGCAUCUCUGAAAUGCCAUAUUUUACAUUUUAUCAACUAAUAAUUUAAAGAAAAACCACACAAAA
Pseudophryne corroboree (corroboree frog) is the source of this 665-nucleotide long non-coding RNA. RefSeq lists it as uncharacterized. The record is from RefSeq and is a predicted model, not a curated record. Lineage: Eukaryota; Metazoa; Chordata; Amphibia; Anura; Myobatrachidae. The transcript is spliced from 5 exons.